Molecule: long non-coding RNA, 442 nt
Organism: Chroicocephalus ridibundus (black-headed gull)
Lineage: Eukaryota; Metazoa; Chordata; Aves; Charadriiformes; Laridae
Exons: 3
Source: RefSeq, a predicted model, not a curated record
CCCUAUGUUUGAACUCAUUCCAGAAUGCCGGAUUUACUUUUCACGAAGAAACAGUACCUGGCUGGACUGCAUUUUUCUUUCCCUCCUCAGUCAGCGGAAGAUUGGAAACAAUAUUCUUUUGAUGAUGAGCGUGCUUGCAGUAAUGCGAUGUGCCUGCGUGCAAGUGUGAAUCUUGCAGGGGAGAAGGAAGACAAACUUUGCUACCUGUGAAAUGAAGACUUCUUAGGUAGCAGUGGAAAUGAAAACAAUUCUAUUUGCAAUAUUGUUCACAGACUCCACAAAUGAGUAACUUCAGUGGGAAUUGCUCAUAAACAAGAAAGAGACAGGGUCAUCUGGAUUCUUCUGAAGGCAAGAGUCAGGGCCAGAAGUCUCCAUGAAAGACCUACCCAAGACACAAGAAAAGGAUCCCACCUCUUCUCCAGAGACUCCAUCCCGCAUUGAG